RNAcentral lists this ribosomal RNA (253 nucleotides) under uncultured bacterium. RNAcentral's name for it is "partial 16S ribosomal RNA". It matches the Rfam family "Bacterial small subunit ribosomal RNA", at positions 524 to 776 of the family's 1533-position model. The record is from RNAcentral.
GACGUAGGAGGCGAGCGUUAUCCGGAUUUACUGGGCGUAAAGCGUGUGUAGGCGGUUUGGAAAGUUGGAUGUGAAAGCUCCUGGCUCAACUGGGAGAGGUCGUUCAAUACUUCCAGACUAGAGUAUGGUAGAGGGAGGUGGAAUUCCGGGUGUAGUGGUGAAAUGCGUAGAUAUCCGGAGGAACACCAGUGGCGAAAGCGGCCUCCUGGACCAUUUCUGACGCUCAGACACGAAAGCUAGGGUAGCAAACGGG